AUUGAACGCUGGCGGCAUGCCUUACACAUGCAAGUCGAACGGCAGCACGGGUGCUUGCACCUGGUGGCGAGUGGCGAACGGGUGAGUAAUACAUCGGAACAUGUCCUGUAGUGGGGGAUAGCCCGGCGAAAGCCGGAUUAAUACCGCAUACGAUCUACGGAUGAAAGCGGGGGACCUUCGGGCCUCGCGCUAUAGGGUUGGCCGAUGGCUGAUUAGCUAGUUGGGGGGGUAAAGGCCUACCAAGGCGACGAUCAGUAGCUGGUCUGAGAGGACGACCAGCCACACUGGGAAUGAGACACGGCCCAGACUCCUACGGGAGGCAGCAGUGGGGAAUUUUGGACAAUGGGCGAAAGCCUGAGCCAGCCAGGCAGCGUGUGUGAAGAAGGCCUUCGGGUUGUAAAGCACUUUUGUCCGGAAAGAAAUCCUUGGCCCUAAUACGGUCGGGGGAUGACGGUACCGGAAGAAUGAGCACCGGCGAACUACGU
RNAcentral lists this ribosomal RNA (485 nucleotides) under uncultured bacterium. Its description in RNAcentral is "partial 16S ribosomal RNA". It matches the Rfam family "Bacterial small subunit ribosomal RNA", at positions 29 to 506 of the family's 1533-position model. The record is from RNAcentral.